AACGAACGCUGGCGGCGCGCCUAAUACAUGCAAGUCGAGCGAGAAGACGUAGCAAUACGUUUGUAAAGCGGCGAACGGGUGAGGAAUACAUGGGUAACCUACCCUCGAGUGGGGAAUAACUAGCCGAAAGGUUAGCUAAUACCGCGUACGCUCCUUGGACUUCGGUUCAGGGAGGAAAGCGAUACCGUGGGUAUCGCGCUCUUGGAUGGGCUCAUGUCCUAUCAGCUUGUUGGUGAGGUAACGGCUCACCAAGGCUUCGACGGGUAGCUGGUCUGAGAGGACGAUCAGCCACACUGGCACUGCGACACGGGCCAGACUCCUACGGGA
This 327-nucleotide ribosomal RNA is filed under the name uncultured bacterium. RNAcentral's name for it is "bacterial SSU rRNA". It matches the Rfam family "Bacterial small subunit ribosomal RNA", at positions 29 to 346 of the family's 1533-position model. The record is from RNAcentral.